GUUCAAACUCCUUGUUAGUAAAGAAGUUAAUGUUCAUAUCUAAACAUUUAAAAAAAAUUCAUACUCAUUCAAAUUGGGUAUAUACUCAAUUUGAAUCUUGGAUCCCAUACUCCAUGUAGCACAAGUUAAUUUACCUUUUCCCCCAUAUAUAUAUAUAUAAAAGAGAAAAAAAAUGUUUAGUCACUACUAAAUUACGAUUUUUUAUAAUAAUGUUCCUCCAUGUUUCUAUUACCGUUAAUUAGGAUAAUAGUACGAAUAGAUAACCCAUCGAUCAAAAUAGAUAAUAGAUCAUAUUGAUUUCUACUUUUAUAGUAUAGAGCACCAUAGUGGGCUCAAUUACAUUUUCAAUGAGCAGUACAAUAAGAUUAUUUUUUACCUAAAUAACUACUCUGUUUGUUUUUUCUUAAUGUUUAAACUAAAAAAUGUCAGACAUUAAAGGAUAAGGAUAAUAUCAGAUUGCCAUAUAUUUACUGUGAAUACUUCUCUGCGAGCAGCGUUUCCUGCCGUCAGAAUUCGGCAUGGAUCCAUCGAGGAUGGGGAAUGCUCUUGAACCUGGGAGGGUUACAUUAGAAACUAUUAAGAGCGGCGGGCUGGGCGGCCGCUCGCGCGUGCCACGUCGGAUAGCUACAGUGCGCGGGUGGAAGUUUUUCGAAAAAGUCCUUCUAUUUUUUGUAAUUAUAUAUAUGUCCUUAUAAACAGUACUUGAAGGGGAAAAAUCGCGGAAAGGGACUGCUCUGUAAAAUAAGGAAAGAAUAGGGUUUUUCUUCAAAAAUGACGCCCACUAAUCUAACCCCCCAGACCUUAUCCGCCGCCGCCCGCACCCUCUCCCUCUGCCCGCUCCCUCUCCCUCUCUUCCGCCGCCGCCUUGGCCACCCCUCGCGCCGCCGUCCCCGCCUCCGCCUCACACCGCGGCCCCUCGCCACCGUCCCUGCGUCGCGCUCCCACCUCCGUCUCCGCCCCUCGCCGCCGCCCCGCCUCUUCCUCGCGCCGCCACCGCCGCCGCCUCCGCCUCGCACAGCCGCCAUCCCCGCCUCCGCCUCCUGCCGCCGGCGUAAGAAUCCAGCCUCGAUGUGGUCGGGGGACGGGGAUCUGACUUCCCCCGUGCACCGGGCGGUGCCGCAGCCUCCGUCCCCCGACCACAUGGAAGGGGCGGCCUCGGGUGGAGCUGGUGUCGUUGCCGCGACCUCAUUGGCUAAAGGCCGGUUGUCCGUCGAUCUAGAGGAGGGAGAGGUGACAGCAGCAGUAAAGAGUGGGAAGGGGCUGUCAACGGCAGUAUGGGGGAGAAGCGUUGGAGCCCGCUUCCCCUACUCUCACAGGGGCCGCCGCUGUCGAACCUGUGUUACCUGGGGGCGGAGUUCAGGUUCCAGCGGGUGGAGCUCGGGGCGGAGAUGAUGACCGACGGUGAGGCAGUUCGAUGAGCGCCAUAUCUGCUCUUCUACAAGGGCCCCAAGGUCUGUUCGUCCCAGGUCGAUGCUAAGGAAUCUGACCACCUAUGUUGCUUUCUUGCCGCUGCCAUCAAGACACCAAGUCGAGCUUCAAGAAGGGCAUUUUUGUAUAGUGCAAACUGCUUGGUGGUGUGUCACUGAGGUUCCUACAGACGUACUGGAUGGAUGCAGAUGUGGUAACAGCCUUCGAGCUAAGCCGGGCCAUCGACGAUGGAGUGCUGCAGCCUUUGCCCUUUGGUUCGCUGACAUGCUGUUCCUUCUAUGUGAGGUUGCCAGUACCACGGACUCGCCGUCAGCACUGUGCAACGUCAUCCUUCUGCGCUAGACUGACUCCACCCUCUGCUGAGUGAGAUCGCGUGCUUUUUCCACUCGCUACAAGUCCGAGCAGCCAAGCACUUAUCGCAAGAAUGGAAAACCAGCUGCCAUUCAAUAUGGCACUGGUUCAGUUGAUGGGUUUUUCAACGAGGAUAGUGUUACAGUAGGUGAUCUGGUUGUGAAAGAUCAGGAAUUGCUUCACCGCUUUAGGAAUUCAUUGAAGUUAUAAAGGAGCCAAGCCAUAUACUUUCAUGGUUGCAAAAUUCGAUGACAUUCUUGGUCUCGGAUUUCAGAAAAUAGCUAUUGGAGAUGAGGUGAAUAUUUGGCUUUGAUUGGUGAAAAAUUAAUGGAGCGGAUAUAAUCGAACUUGGACUUGCUACGCAUUGUCCCAUCAGUGGUGCUUUGGUUCGCAUAAUAAACUGAGAAAAUAUUAUGGGAGUCUUCUCUUCAUUGCUGCCCUAGGCAACAAGGUGUAUGGAUAUGCCAUCAACCAACUCAAGAAUUGCACUGUAAAAUGUCAAAAACAAAAUGGAAAGUAUUUGUGUUCUUAUCAAGGUCUUUCUGUUGAGUUUUAAGGAUCAGAGUGAAGAUCUCUUGAUGGUCCAUUUGUGUUGGUUUGGAUCAACAACAUGCCAUGUGCUGCUGAUAGUAUCAUGGCGGUUCUUGGGGCCAAGGAGGCGCGCCAUUGGUUUGUCCUUAAGAUGACAUAUUGUUAAUAUCAUAUGAGGUCAUUAUAGCAUUUGGAAGAAUGGGAACCAUGUUUCGGUGUGAUAUGUAUGACAUCAAACCAAAUUUUGUCUCAAUAGGCAAUGUGAGUUCAGGCUUCAGUAGUACCAGAGUGAUUAUUGAUAACUACCGAGAUGUCCACGUCAGAGUGGUACGAGCUCCAGAUUAAGAAGAACAAGCUUUGUGACAUGUUUGAUGAGGCGCCUUCCCAAUGGUGCAUGAUUUAGUGAAAGCAAGGGAUAACCACUUUGUUAGAGUCAAUUUCGACUCGUGAUUUGUCCUCUAUAGUCGUCGUUUGGAACUACCCCAUCUAUACCA
Molecule: non-coding RNA, 2804 nt
Organism: Oryza sativa Japonica Group (Japanese rice)
Lineage: Eukaryota; Viridiplantae; Streptophyta; Magnoliopsida; Poales; Poaceae
Source: RefSeq, a predicted model, not a curated record